CCUCGCCUUCAACGACCCGCCGGCGGAUUUCGAGACGGAGGAGCCUUACCUCGUCGUGGAACUGGACGAGGCCCGUCGUCGGCAGCAGCAGGGCGAGGGAUGGUAUCCGACGCUGCAAGACGUCCCGACGCAGGCGGUCUCGAUGUCGAUCCGCCAGAUCCUGAAGGCGAUUAAGAUCGUCUGCAGCGUUCCGGACGAUCGGAAAGCCCGUGCCGUCCGCGAGAGCCUGGAAGAGCCGGUCGAUCCGCAGAUUCCCGCGUCCAUCCUGCGGACGCACGGCGACGUGACGCUGUUCCUGGAUCGCGAGAGCGCCUCGCAGCUCGCCCAGGAAACGAUCGACGCCGCCAGGAAAAGUUCCUGACGGCGUUCGCGUCGUUCUUUAGAUCAAUUGCAGCGGAUGCGGCGCCUGGUUCACUCGCCGAU
This 423-nucleotide unclassified non-coding RNA is filed under the name plant metagenome. RNAcentral describes it as "partial contains 5.8S ribosomal RNA, internal transcribed spacer 2, and large subunit ribosomal RNA". The record is from RNAcentral.